RNAcentral lists this ribosomal RNA (487 nucleotides) under uncultured bacterium. RNAcentral's name for it is "bacterial SSU rRNA". It matches the Rfam family "Bacterial small subunit ribosomal RNA", at positions 501 to 987 of the family's 1533-position model. The record is from RNAcentral.
CUACGUGCCAGCAGCCGCGGUAAUACGUAGGUCCCGAGCGUUGUCCGGAAUUAUUGGGCGUAAAGCGCGCGCAGGCGGAUUGGUCAGUCUGUCUUAAAAGUUCGGGGCUUAACCCCGUGAUGGGAUGGAAACUGCCAAUCUAGAGUAUCGGAGAGGAAAGUGGAAUUCCUAGUGUAGCGGUGAAAUGCGUAGAUAUUAGGAAGAACACCAGUGGCGAAGGCGACUUUCUGGACGAAAACUGACGCUGAGGCGCGAAAGCCAGGGGAGCGAACGGGAUUAGAUACCCCGGUAGUCCUGGCCGUAAACGAUGGGUACUAGGUGUAGGAGGUAUCGACCCCUUCUGUGCCGGAGUUAACGCAAUAAGUACCCCGCCUGGGGAGUACGACCGCAAGGUUGAAACUCAAAGGAAUUGACGGGGGCCCGCACAAGCGGUGGAGUAUGUGGUUUAAUUCGACGCAACGCGAAGAACCUUACCAGGUCUUGACAU